RNAcentral lists this ribosomal RNA (354 nucleotides) under uncultured bacterium. Its description in RNAcentral is "bacterial SSU rRNA". It matches the Rfam family "Bacterial small subunit ribosomal RNA", at positions 8 to 353 of the family's 1533-position model. The record is from RNAcentral.
AGAGUUUGAUCAUGGCUCAGGAUGAACGCUAGCUACAGGCUUAACACAUGCAAGUCGAGGGGCAGCAUGGUCUUAGCUUGCUAAGACUGAUGGCGACCGGCGCACGGGUGAGUAACACGUAUCCAACCUGCCGUCUACUCUUGGACAGCCUUCUGAAAGGAAGAUUAAUACAAGAUGGCAUCAUGAGUCCGCAUGUUCACAUGAUUAAAGGUAUUCCGGUAGACGAUGGGGAUGCGUUCCAUUAGAUAGUAGGCGGGGUAACGGCCCACCAAGGCAACGAUCAGUAGGGGUUCUGAGAGGAAGGUCCCCCACAUUGGAACUGAGACACGGUCCAAACUCCUACGGGAGGCAGCA